UACGGGGGGGGCUAGCGUUGUUCGGAAUUGCUGGGCGUAAAGGGCGCGUAGGCGGUCUGCUAAGUUGGAUGUGAAAACUCUGGGCUUAACCCAGAGCCUGCAUUCAAUACUGACAGGCUAGAGUUCGGUAGGGGAGACUGGAAUUCCUGGUGUAGCGGUGAAAUGCGCAGAUAUCAGGAGGAACACCGGUGGCGAAGGCGGGUCUCUGGGCCGAUACUGACGCUGAGGAGCGAAAGCGUGGGGAGCGAACAGG
This 253-nucleotide ribosomal RNA is filed under the name uncultured bacterium. RNAcentral describes it as "partial 16S ribosomal RNA". It matches the Rfam family "Bacterial small subunit ribosomal RNA", at positions 524 to 776 of the family's 1533-position model. The record is from RNAcentral.